Molecule: long non-coding RNA, 1267 nt
Filed under: Anas platyrhynchos platyrhynchos (common mallard)
Lineage: Eukaryota; Metazoa; Chordata; Aves; Anseriformes; Anatidae
Description: lncRNA (ENSAPLG00000028696.1)
Source: RNAcentral
CAGAAGCCUCUGUCUUUCAAAAAAGCAAGGUAUUUCCAGUUUACAUGAUGAGGGAAACUUUGCUGUCUUGACAACACACAUACCAAUUGAAAAUCAUUAUAAAAAUUAAAAAAAAAAAAUAAAUGUGAACAGGGGAAGGAAAGGAAGAAAAAACAGAAAGAAUAAUUGGCACAUAUGGCUUACACAAACACUUAAGAGUCCCACAUCUUGUAUCAUUUAUCUACCAAUAGCUUCUUUUCUCCACACAACAUUUCAAACAAUACAGAAUCUAUUCAACACUUCCCUGUACAUCCAAUGAGAAACAGUGGGAGUUAUAAAUAAAGUCCCUGGAGGUAGGUGAAUUUAUAUCAAUAAAAAUCUGUCCUUCAUAUUUUAAAUGAUUUUCACUUUUAAAGUAUGUAGUUUUUAAAUGAUUUGACUAUUAUAAAAGGCAUAGAUUUCUCUACAAGCUAACUAAAUAUGUAAAGACAGAUAUAGUCACUAAAGACAUUACAGAAAACUCAACUCCAAGAAGAAUUAUUCUAGAAAAUAGUUGAACGCAACCUGAGAACAACAGAUCCUUCUAAAUUAUACCUAGCAUUUAACAUGCCUACAGACCCAAUCCAGCAUUGUGCUAAAAUCCUUCGUUCCCGCUACAGUCAAAUGGACUACUUACUGUGGACAAAGAAAGAAAACCUGUGCAUCUUAAAGCAGUGAGCAGUUAAUGCCUGGUAACAGUGCUGAAGGAUGUGUGAAAGAGUAAGAACCGAUUUUUGAUUCCAGUUCAGAACCAAAUGCAGAUGUGCCCUGUAUGCCUGGUGCUGGUUCUUCAUUAUUGCCAUGGGGUUCAACAGCACACCUGGUGUCUCAGGGUCAGCGAGUCCCUGCUGCUUUACAGUGCCCUGCAGGUCCUGCCUGGACCUUGAGCUCUUCUACGCCACCUGUAUAGAGUUCCUACAAAAUUCCACAUGAAGGACAAAGAAAACUUCUGAUUUUCAUUGACUGGACAAAAUGGUGAGACACUUAUCUCCUACCUGGAGUUCAUCAGUGCUGUAUAAAGCCAGUAACACCAGAUAGCAGUGCUGAAUCAAAAUAUAUACAUACAUUGGAUGUAUGUAUAAAUAUACCAUAUAUACUCUCUGUCUAUAAUAUGUAAUAUAUGUGUACACAGUUAUUGUGUGUCUAUAAUUUCCAGAGAGAAAUGAAGGUAUAUGCACACGUUCAUGUAUUAUACACACAUGGACACAGUGCCUUCCCUUGAACACUUUAUGCACUACAUAUACACCAC